This 1165-nucleotide long non-coding RNA is filed under the name Oncorhynchus kisutch (coho salmon). RNAcentral's name for it is "lncRNA (ENSOKIG00005019338.1)". Lineage: Eukaryota; Metazoa; Chordata; Actinopteri; Salmoniformes; Salmonidae. The record is from RNAcentral.
AUACAGAACACAUCAUCACAUCAUCCACACAGUAAAUGGUUAAAUGAAGCUGUGUAGAUUCUAGGCCUGGCUACAGUCUAUUGUGGAUGAGGUUUGCUCCAUAAUAAUGGCUAGUGGGCAGGAUGUAGUGUCUAGCUGGCUGAUCUAGAAGGUACCGUGCUACUGUAAGGGCAGGCAUGCUGGGGUCACUCAGGUUUCAGCCGGGCUGUAACACAAUGACAUUGUAUCAUGGUCUAUCUCUCAGAGCCAUACUGCCACAGCCUCAGGCCUUAUGGCCAACAUAUACACCCAUCAGAUGAAGAAGGAAUAUCAUUUAAAAACUACAGAGCCAGAGGCAAACUGAUAUUCUAUCCUCUCCUCUCCUCAUUUCCUCUCCUCAUUUCCUCUCCUACUCUCUCACAUCUCCUCUCCUCAUUUCCUCUCCUACUCUCUCACAUCUCCUCUCUUCAUUUCCUCUCCUACUCUCUCACAUCUCCUCUCCUCAUUUCCUCUCCUACUCUCUCACAUCUCCUCUCCUCAUUUCCUUUCCUACUCUCUCACAUCUCCUCUCCUCAUUUCCUCUCCUACUCUCUCACAUCUCCUCUCCUCAUUUCCUUUCCUACUCUCUCACAUCUCCUCUCCUCAUUUCCUCUCCUACUCUCUCACAUCUCCGCUCCUCAUUUCCUUUCCUACUCUCUCACAUCUCCUCUCCUCAUUUCCUCUCCUCAUUUCCUCUCCUACUCUCUCACAUCUCCUCUCCUCAUUUCCUCUCCUACUCUCUCACAUCUCCUCUCUUCAUUUCCUCUCCUACUCUCUCACAUCUCCUCUCUUCAUUUCCUCGCCUACUCUCUCACAUCUCCUCUUCUCAUUUCCUCUCCUACACUCUCUCCUCUCCUCUCCUUUCUAUUCCUCUCCUAUCCUCCUCACUUCUCUCCUCUCCUUUCUGUUCCUCUCCUCUCUCUGUCCUCUCCUUCCUUUGCUCUCUCCUCUACUCCCUCUCCAUUCCUCUCUUCUCCUCCUCUCUCCUCUCCUUUAAGUCUCAGUUUAGUGGUACUGUCGCUGUAAAUAAUUUAUUGGUAGAAUGAGUUGUUGCUGCUAGGCAAGUAUCUGACAUGUUUUCUUAAAGAGACGUUACACACCACCUUUACUUUCCCUUUACUCUUUAUGGUCUAUAAAAUCACUGCGC